Long non-coding RNA from Drosophila simulans, 1593 nucleotides. RefSeq lists it as uncharacterized. The record is from RefSeq and is a predicted model, not a curated record. The transcript has 3 exons. Lineage: Eukaryota; Metazoa; Arthropoda; Insecta; Diptera; Drosophilidae.
UUUAUAAGCGCCUUUAGUAUUCUUUUACUGAUUUAUCUCUAAAGUUGUUAUUGAAAAGCCAGGCAGCAUUGUUAAAAAUCAACCCUAGUUCUAUAUGUCGUUAAAUUGCAACUCUGGUAUGAACUGCAAUGCACGCAUCUUAUACAUACAUAUAUUAAAGUCUGUAUGUGUAUACAGUAGUAUAAAUAGAAGUGUGAGAAGACAAGAAGAGGUUCAGUCACAAAUAAACUUUCAUAGUGCUCACAUGUAUAUAAUCAACACCGAGUUUUUAACGGGGCAUAUUUAGGAGUUCCACGUCGUUUAUAAUUUCGACGGCUAGCGCUCUAAACAGACCUCGCCCACCAAGGAGGCUCAACAGAAGGCAACCGACGUAUAAGAAUCACGUGGGACUGUGUACCGAUCGUGGUAGAAGAUGUGGGAGCAGCCAAGAAGACUGUGGUGGCAUCGGUAUACUUUGCCGGUGACGAGGCGUGCCCACCGCCCGAAAUCACUGCACUGGCAGAAUACUGCAAGAGGACACACUCACCCACUCGGAUGUGAUGCAAGUGCACAUCACGUGAUAUGGGGCAGCAGCGACGUAAAUCAAAGAGCUUUCCUGGCUCAAAACGGAUGGUGACAGAGCGAACGCAAUUGCUGAACAUUUGUUCUCCACCCCCUGCAAUCUGACCGACAACACCCACCGAGAGGAAGUCGCAAACUUUUUGGAUGUGCCUUCUCAUCAGCCCACAACAUGAGAUAUAUCACUCCAUAAGAAGUCAGUCUGUACCUGAAGGCCCUUUAACUGAAAUAGACACUAGGACCUGAUGACUCUGACAAUCGUGCAGCCAAAUUCCUCCUGGAAAAUAAAGUAAAAAUAUAUAAUAUAUAUAAAAUAUAUUUAUAUAUAUUAUAUAUAAACUGAGUGGGAAAAACACACAGUCCGCAUCCACUUAGUGUAUAGAUCAAUAUCCCAAGCGGACGAUCCCACUCCCGAAAUAAUAUAUACAUAUGGGCAAUAGGUAUCAUAAAAAUAAUCAGCACUUUCGGAAGAAAUAAGAAUAUGCAGAAGGGGGAAUCCCACGCAAUGUACACAAUCCACAUCCGCUAGAUCUUUAGAAUCAAUAGAAAUAAAGUGAACAACUUUCGGAAAACCAUGUUAAUCAACUACUUUAUCAAAUCAAGGAGAUACCUGAAUACGACGGAAACCCGAAAGGAUCCAGUAUAUACAUUACUGAAGUCGAAUUUUUUUUAGAAUUAUACCCCACGUAAGAAGUUCAACAACAACACAUUAUUUAUGGAGCCAUUAGAGGGACAAUGAUUGGCCCACCCCGAGAAGUAAUCAAUGAAGAAAGAGCAACUAACUGGAUGGAAGCAAAAACAGGUUUGAUCAAGGAGUUCAAAGAUCUCAGACCAUAUGAAGACUUCAUCAGCGAUAUAUACGGGACACCAUACCAGUAAACUUACCAUCGGUAAAUUCGUUAAUGAUCGGUAAUGAAUUAAAGUUAAGAGUAAUUAGAAAUUAAGUAAUAAAGAAGUUGAAAAAAGAUCAAUCAGAUAGAAUAGUUUAAACCAAUGCACUAAAUAAAACUAUCAAGAAUUUCAUUGAAAGGAAAA